GUUGAUGUAUUUCAAUGGUAGAAGGCUGCUCUCAUAAGGCAGUAGUUGAAAGUUCGAGUCUUUCCAUCAGCA
Molecule: transfer RNA, 72 nt
Filed under: Crassvirales sp.
Lineage: Duplodnaviria; Heunggongvirae; Uroviricota; Caudoviricetes; Crassvirales
Description: tRNA-Met
Rfam family: tRNA
About the family: Transfer RNA (tRNA) molecules are approximately 80 nucleotides in length. Their secondary structure includes four short double-helical elements and three loops (D, anti-codon, and T loops).
Source: RNAcentral